Molecule: ribosomal RNA, 253 nt
Filed under: uncultured bacterium
Lineage: Bacteria
Description: partial 16S ribosomal RNA
Rfam family: Bacterial small subunit ribosomal RNA
Source: RNAcentral
UACGUAGGGUCCGAGCGUUGUCCGGAAUUAUUGGGCGUAAAGGGCUCGUAGGCGGUUUGUCGCGUCGGGAGUGAAAACACGGGGCUUAACCCCGUGCCUGCUUCCGAUACGGGCAGACUAGAGGUAUGCAGGGGAGAACGGAAUUCCUGGUGUAGCGGUGAAAUGCGCAGAUAUCAGGAGGAACACCGGUGGCGAAGGCGGGUCUCUGGGCCGUAACUGACGCUGAGGAGCGAAAGCGUGGGGAGCGAACAGG